GCGGGAUUAGUUUAGUGGCAGAAUGGGACACUUCCAAUGUCCAGACACGAGUUCGAUUCUCGUAUCCCGCA
Molecule: transfer RNA, 71 nt
Filed under: Candidatus Kaiserbacteria bacterium RIFCSPHIGHO2_01_FULL_50_13
Lineage: Bacteria; Candidatus Kaiseribacteriota
Also listed under: 2 other names
Description: tRNA-Gly
Rfam family: tRNA
About the family: Transfer RNA (tRNA) molecules are approximately 80 nucleotides in length. Their secondary structure includes four short double-helical elements and three loops (D, anti-codon, and T loops).
Source: RNAcentral